This 544-nucleotide ribosomal RNA is filed under the name Klebsiella pneumoniae IS53. Its description in RNAcentral is "LSU rRNA". It matches the Rfam family "Bacterial large subunit ribosomal RNA", at positions 1 to 580 of the family's 2925-position model. The record is from RNAcentral. Lineage: Bacteria; Pseudomonadati; Pseudomonadota; Gammaproteobacteria; Enterobacterales; Enterobacteriaceae.
GGUUAAGCGACUAAGCGUACACGGUGGAUGCCCUGGCAGUCAGAGGCGAUGAAGGACGUGCUAAUCUGCGAAAAGCGUCGGUAAGGUGAUAUGAACCGUUAUAACCGGCGAUGUCCGAAUGGGGAAACCCAGUGUGAUUCGUCACACUAUCGUUAACUGAAUACAUAGGUUAACGAGGCGAACCGGGGGAACUGAAACAUCUAAGUACCCCGAGGAAAAGAAAUCAACCGAGAUUCCCCCAGUAGCGGCGAGCGAACGGGGAGCAGCCCAGAGUCUGAAUCAGCUUGUGUGUUAGUGGAACGGUCUGGAAAGUCCGACGGUACAGGGUGAUAGUCCCGUACACCAAAAUGCACAGGUUGUGAACUCGAAGAGUAGGGCGGGACACGUGGUAUCCUGUCUGAAUAUGGGGGGACCAUCCUCCAAGGCUAAAUACUCCUGACUGACCGAUAGUGAACCAGUACCGUGAGGGAAAGGCGAAAAAAAGAACCCCGGCGAGGGGAGUGAAAAAAGAACCUGAAACCGUGUACGUACAAGCAGUGGGAGC